This 405-nucleotide unclassified non-coding RNA is filed under the name soil metagenome. Its description in RNAcentral is "partial contains 5.8S ribosomal RNA, internal transcribed spacer 2, and large subunit ribosomal RNA". The stretch from base 1 to 121 matches the Rfam family "5.8S ribosomal RNA", at positions 35 to 154 of the family's 154-position model. The record is from RNAcentral.
GAUGAAGAACGCAGCGAAAUGCGAUAAGUAAUGUGAAUUGCAGAAUUCAGUGAAUCAUCGAAUCUUUGAACGCACCUUGCGCCCUUUGGCCAUUCCGAAGGGCAUGCCUGUUUGAGUAUCAUGAACACCUCAACUCUUUAUGGUUUUCCAUGAUGAGCUUGGACUCUGGGGGUUUUGCUGGCUCACAGUCGGCUCCUCUAAAAUGAAUCAGCUUACCAGUGUUUGGUGGGUAUCAUGGGUGUGAUAACUAUCCACGCUUGUGGUUUUUCCACCAGGUAACCUUCAGCAGUGGAGGUUCGCUGGAGCUCAUAGAUGUCUCUCCUCAGUGAGGACAGCCCUUUGAAUGUUUGAUCUCAAAUCAGGUAGGACUACCCGCUGAACUUAAGCAUAUCAAUAAGCGGAGGA